UUCAAAUACCGGUUCUCGUCUGAUCACCGAAGUUACGCAAAUUUGAGCCUGGUUAGUACCUAGAUGAAUGCUCGCUUGGGAAUAUUAGGUGAUGUAA
Non-coding RNA from Acanthosepion pharaonis, 97 nucleotides. Lineage: Eukaryota; Metazoa; Mollusca; Cephalopoda; Sepiida; Sepiidae. The record is from the annotation of a GenBank genome assembly.